UUAAAUUGAAGAAUUUGAUCAUGGCUCAGAUUGAACGCUGGCGGCAGGCCUAACACAUGCAAGUCGAACGGUAACAGGAAGCAGCUUGCUGCUUUGCUGACGAGUGG
Molecule: ribosomal RNA, 107 nt
Filed under: Escherichia coli
Lineage: Bacteria; Pseudomonadati; Pseudomonadota; Gammaproteobacteria; Enterobacterales; Enterobacteriaceae
Description: partial 16S ribosomal RNA
Rfam family: Bacterial small subunit ribosomal RNA
Source: RNAcentral